This 130-nucleotide ribosomal RNA is filed under the name Placozoan sp. BZD5. RNAcentral describes it as "partial 16S ribosomal RNA". The record is from RNAcentral. Lineage: Eukaryota; Metazoa; Placozoa. RNAcentral also lists the same sequence under 3 other names.
CCUACGGAUCGGACCCCCUCGGGGUCCUUCCAACGGAUCCCUUAAGUCCCCUGUCCUUUGCUUCAUAAUAAAAUUGUGAAGACUAAGUGGAAAAAGAUAAAACAAGGGAUUAAAAAGAACGGGCCUCUGG